UACAGAGGUCUCAAGCGUUGUUCGGAUUCAUUGGGCGUAAAGGGUGCGUAGGCGGCGCGGUAAGUCGGGUGUGAAAUCUCGGGGCUUAACUCCGAAACUGCAUUCGAUACUGCCGUGCUUGAGGACUGGAGAGGAGACUGGAAUUUACGGUGUAGCGGUGAAAUGCGUAGAUAUCGAGAGGAACACCUGCGGCGAAGGCGGCUCUCUGGGUCGUACCUGACGCUGAGGCGCGAAAGCGUGGGGAGCGAACGGG
This 253-nucleotide ribosomal RNA is filed under the name uncultured bacterium. RNAcentral describes it as "partial 16S ribosomal RNA". It matches the Rfam family "Bacterial small subunit ribosomal RNA", at positions 524 to 776 of the family's 1533-position model. The record is from RNAcentral.